AGUUAAUGAGCUUGAAUAAGCAUGUAUUUUGAAAAUACAACAUAAAACUAAAAUUUUAUUAACUU
This 65-nucleotide transfer RNA is filed under the name Melecta chinensis. RNAcentral's name for it is "tRNA-Ser". The record is from RNAcentral. Lineage: Eukaryota; Metazoa; Arthropoda; Insecta; Hymenoptera; Apidae.